AGCAGCGUGGCUCAGUGGAAAGAGCCCGGGCUUGGGAGUCAGAGGUCAUGGGUUCGAAUCCCGGCUCUGCCA
Ornithorhynchus anatinus (platypus) is the source of this 72-nucleotide non-coding RNA. Lineage: Eukaryota; Metazoa; Chordata; Mammalia; Monotremata; Ornithorhynchidae. The record is from Rfam.